GAUGAACGCUGGCGGCGUGCCUAAUACAUGCAAGUCGAGCGAACAGGCGAGGAGCUUGCUCCUCUGACGUUAGCGGCGGACGGGUGAGUAACACGUGGAUAACCUACCUAUAAGACUGGGAUAACUUCGGGAAACCGGAGCUAAUACCGGAUAAUAUAUUGAACCGCAUGGUUCAAUAGUGAAAGACGGUUUUGCUGUCACUUAUAGAUGGAUCCGCGCAGCAUUAGCUAGUUGGUAAGGUAACGGCUUACCAAGGCAACGAUGCGUAGCCGACCUGAGAGGGUGAUCGGCCACACUGGAACUGAGACACGGUCCAGACUCCUACGGGAGGCAGCAGUAGGGAAUCUUCCGCAAUGGGCGAAAGCUUGACGGAGCAACGCCGCGUGAGUGAUGAAGGUCUUCGGAUCGUAAAACUCUGUUAUUAGGGAAGAACAAAUGUGUAAGUAACUAUGCACGUCUUGACGGUACCUAAUCAGAAAGCCACGGCUAACUACGUG
This 497-nucleotide ribosomal RNA is filed under the name uncultured bacterium. Its description in RNAcentral is "partial 16S ribosomal RNA". It matches the Rfam family "Bacterial small subunit ribosomal RNA", at positions 28 to 507 of the family's 1533-position model. The record is from RNAcentral.